CCGGGGGGGGGGAGGUUGGGGCGCAAGCGGGGGUGAGGAGCCGGAGCCUGGCGGGGAGCCAGGGGGCACUGGCCUCCGAGUCCGUGGCCAAGCGGGCCUCUGCGGGUGAUGAUGGAGCAGAGAUCGGUGCCUCUGCGCUCGGACCGGAGACGAGGUCACGUCUCCGGCGGGGGUGGACGUGUCUGCCAGCCACCGAAGGCCGGGCGGUAGGUAGGACAUGUUCAGAGGGACAUGAUAUGGUCCGGCGUGACGGUGAGGACAGACAGGAUGCCGUCCGGCCUCCCUGAACAUCCUUGGCUGGCCCCGUGGGGAGCUGGGCACCAGCAUCUCUGUUCCUUUGCUUUCCUGAAGGAGCCAAUACACUAUGCUGCUCUCUAGACCCCAGAACCCUCAAGACGACAAGAAAUGGUGCUACCCAGCUCAUGCCUGGGCCUUGGAACCCGGACUUCUUCAAGUCCUUCUAGCUCUGAUCCAAGAAUAUGCUGCAUUCUGGAACCACUACACCACUUGACUCAGAAACCAGCUCUGGAAGGUUAAGCCAAAGGAACAGACGACCCACACCACCGGACGAACCAGCGGCACCCGCGGCCGCACCCACCCACCGCCCGGCAAUUCCAUCUUUGCGGCCACCCUGCCACGUCCAGGAGACCAUCACCACCCUCCCUUCCUCCUCUUCAUCCUUUUCUCUGACUUUUUUCUACUCUUCUCUCCUCUAUCCUUUGCUCAGAGGACCCAGAGCGUCCAGGACUCCGCUUCCCCGUCCCUCCUGAAUUAAUUUGCACUAAGUCGUUUGCACUGGUUUGGAGUUCUGGAACCAGCCUUGGGUCUCUGAGCGAGUGUCUGAGCAAACUGCUGAGUGGCCCGGCCUCCUUGGCCUGCGUGCCCCGCCCAGCGCCCACCUGUCCUUCAUCUCUGUCUGGGGGUGACUGGGUUGGGGCCCGAGUGUGUGAGGCCCCGCCCUCCCCUCGCCUAGUCUGGAGGCUCCAGACACCGAGCCAGCCCUGAAGCAUUCCGUCAUGCGGCCCUCUCGCCACGUGCCCCUCCCCACCAGGACUUCCCCAGAAGGCCUGGACUCAUCAAUAAACUCAGUCACAGGAA
Camelus dromedarius (Arabian camel) is the source of this 1098-nucleotide RNA transcript. RefSeq lists it as uncharacterized. Lineage: Eukaryota; Metazoa; Chordata; Mammalia; Artiodactyla; Camelidae. The record is from RefSeq and is a predicted model, not a curated record. The transcript is spliced from 5 exons.